This 318-nucleotide long non-coding RNA is filed under the name Lathyrus oleraceus (garden pea). RNAcentral's name for it is "Pisum sativum (pea) long non-coding RNA (PSAT_LNC026909)". Lineage: Eukaryota; Viridiplantae; Streptophyta; Magnoliopsida; Fabales; Fabaceae. The record is from RNAcentral.
AUGGAGUAGUGGUUUGUUGUGAGUGAGGUUGGGAGAGAACUGUGGGGUAUUUGAGCUUGAAAAAACAGAGGUGGAGUUGUUUGGAAAAUAGACUUGGCAUCUUUGCAUAAUAAGUGAGUGAGUUAGAGAAAACAUGUAGAUUUAGUGGUUGUGUUGUGUGAGUUAUAUUAUAUAUAGGCAGUAUGGGUUAGAUUGUAGUAGUUUUUAUCCCCAAACAAGUUUGUAGUAGUAUCUUUCAACUUUUGUCUAAUACAAUCUUUGUAUAAAUUAUUACAAUGUUUAUUACAAUUUUUAUAUAGUGUUAUUUUCUAAAUUUUG